GAUGGUGUCAUGAGACAUGUCAUGGACUCUCUGACACCUCCUAAGACAUCACAGCUGCCUAUUAUGUCAGAACAUGGUCCAUCAUGGUCCAACAUUUGAGAUGAAUAGCCCAGGCUAGAUGUGUCUUCGUGUAUCUUCGAGGUUCCCCGGAGGGAUUUUUACAGCAGAGUCAUCAUGCAAGGGAGGACAUUGGCAUGAUAAGAAGGAUUAUCCUAUCUCACAGUGUAAGAGGCAUGUUUUACAGAUGCUAGAUGAGGCACCCUGGGAGAUGUAGUCCCGAAUGUACUCCAAUGCACAUGGGCAGGGAGAUACCCCAUGGUGAUUAAUCAAAGCAGUCAGGUGUUGCUUUGAAGUGCAUAUAAAAGGUGUUGUUUGCUUCCAAUAAAUGGAUCUGGUUGUUGGAACCCCAAUCAGCCAGGUCGUAUGGAUUUAUUUAUUUAUUAUAUUAAUAAAGGCACAUCUGGCACCCAGAACUGGGGCAUUCCCUGUAACAGGGAAGAUUAGAGACUGCCUUGAAACAAGGAGAAUUACGGUAGCAUUCGCAGGAGCCUGUUUUAAAGCUGAGGAACAUUUUUCCGGAAAAAAAGCGAGGAAGUCGCAUACUGAGCUAAAAUUGGGUGGAGGACGUCAUUAAAGAAAACAUGUCAGAUACCAGUGGGAAAGCCGACUGGGACGUCGUGCUGCAGGGACUGCAUUGGGAGCUCCGAGAAUCUGAGUUUUGUGCGCACAGGAGACCUGGCAGAGUGAAAGAAAGAAAAAGCAAAGCUACAGUAGAGCCCAGGUAAGAAGUCAGCAUGAGAAGUUUAAGGGAAAUAGACAUAAAUGCAAAAGCAUUGAGGCAAUAUUUAAGAGAAACCACACAAACCAAGCUGGUCGGACCAUUAAAAUGGAUAGAAAUAACUAUAUCAGGAUUUCUGCUAAGCAGAAUCCUUAGUGUGACUGCUUGGAAAAAAUUUGGAGAGAUAGCUCGAGAGAAAGCAAAGAUGGAAGAUGUGGACACCUUAAAAAUCUCACAAAGAAACUCAAACUUGUUCAAAACUUGAAACCUCCUGUUCCCCCCCACGAGCCCUAACAGGCAAAGAACUCCCCCAGACACCGGGAACAGACACAGGGCUGGGGAGAACCGCGUGCAGACCGAGAGAACCCAACAAUGGACUUGGGCUGGGUUUUGCGCGGGCAGGAGAGAGCACGUGGCGCGGGCCGCGUGGUUGUUGGGGAGAGACAGACUUUGAGUCCCAGAGCCACUGCCGAGUUGCAGCCACGCUGAGGGUUGGGUGUGACCAUCCUGCCCAUGACCAGCUUACACCAGGGGCGAGUCGGGUUUGCGCCCUCCAAAAAAAGACAGGCAGUCGUGCAGCGCACGGACGGAGACGUAGCCCUAUGCCCGCUGCCUCUGCGCUGUUAAAAGAGCCUGUUGGACCUGCUGCGCUCCCCAGAAACAGUGCCAAAAUUCCCCAAAAAGCGCCAGCUACAACGCCGGCGGGCGAGCGAAGCGGCGCGGGGUUUGCACAGGCACUUGCCGCAGCACUUAUCAGCUGAGGCGGUGUGGAGUUCAAAGAGACGCCGGGGGCAGCUGAGAGUCGGCGCAGGGCUCUGGGUCCCCUGCAGCCGGAGCGCAGACCCGACCCGACCCGGCUCGGCACGGCGGGGCGCCGCCGGCGGCAGUUUCACCAGCACCUGAAGCGGACGAGCGAAGGCUGCCGAGGCCGUGCCCGGAGCUGUGCCAGGUCCCUGCCGUGCCGCGGCCCGCACGGAGCCCCGGCGGGGGGAAGACAGGCGGUGGGGGUGUGUGUCUUGCCUCGCUGCAAAAUCCCCCCCAGCGCCGCCCGCACCAUGCUGGGCAGCGGCGGCAACAGAGCAAGCGCAGGGACACGGCCAGGCGAGUGCAGCCCGGGGCCGCGGCGGCGGCGGCUGCGCGGGGCACGCCAGGCCGGGACGGGACGUGGCGGGGCGCAGAGCAGCGGUUUGCGGAGCCGUGGCAGGACCGGGGCGGCAGCAAGUCCCUUGUACGGGUCAAAAUAGGCGGCGAACCGCGAAACGGCCGCGCGACGGCACACGGGAAAAAGCAGCGCAACAGAUGGGAGUAGACGCCGCUGCAGCUCUGCAGGGAGCGCGCAGCGCCAGGGCCGGGAGGAACGGCCCCCGCCCCUUGUGCUGGGACGGAGAGAGGCUGUGCUGCAGCUGUCUGAACGGGCUCUGGCACAGCCCAACCCCACAGCUACAGCGUCAUGCUGUGUGCCUCCCGAGAGACAUACACAACUAAUUUAACAUUAUAUCUUGUUGUCUCAAGGACCUUUGGUAAGAACACUGAAGCUUUGAGUUUUUUCCUAUUUUUCAUUAGUUCCCCAGUGGCCUUGUUUAAAUUGUUAAGGAUAAAAGUUGUUAAAGUUAAGUUUUCAAAUGCAUCUGAACAGAUGGAGUUGUUGUGACAAUGUAGUUCAAAUAACGUGUUUAAAAACUUCAUAAAUUAUCCCAGAAAGGUGUGCAUAGUGUCAGCAAAAGUACAAAAAUAGCUGCUUAAGAGAUUGAGUUAAAGCUAACUAUAAUUGUUCUAACCAAUAUCAUUCAAGAAAUAGGACUGCAAAAUGCUCCAGAAAAAAUUCAUCAACUCAACCAUGGAACAAAUCUACCAUAAAGAAAGGAUUGCACAGCAAAAAGAUCACCUUUCAACCUUCAACUUUGAGGUAAAAGACAUUAAAAGACAUUAAAAUGACUUAUAGCUUUACUUCAAAAAAAGCCAUUCCUGGACAUAACUACAAAAAAACGUAUAUUUACCUAACCUUCAUAUCUGUUUUUUGCCAUAGUAUCCACCUGAAACUGUCUAAAUUUUUAUUAACAUAUUUGUUAAGUUUGUUACUAAGGGCAAAAGCAGCUACCAGAAACGGAUGGACAAAACCUGGAAAAUUAACUGCAUCCCAGACACCAAAGACAACUUGGUCUAGUUGCUUACAUAAGAUGCUGAGUUUCAAGCUGUGUUAGCAGAUUUUAAUGGUAACUUGUUUAUGUAUCUUUGAAUUCAUUAACUUUUGAUUUUCUAAACAAAACUCACUCAUAAAACAGACCAUUGUCAAGAGAGCACAUUACAUGCCAAAUAUGUGUUUCAUAAAAACAAAAAAAAAAGGGGGGAGAAAAUAUGGAUCUCUUUAUGUGUUGAACCUGCAUUGACUUUUCCUCGAAACAGAGAUGAGCACCAGAGAGAGUGAUUGAUGGAGGUGAGCCAAAAGAAAAACACAUAAUUAAUGACUGCUGGUAAACAUAAACCAAAUGAUUGAAAAGUAGGAACACAAUAAAAAUUCUAAGUAUGCAUGAGUAAAGAAUGACUGAAGUGGCCACUUACAUAUGAAUGUAAAAGCUGUAUAAAAGCGAAAAGCUGUGUGGACAUAUAUGUGUGUAAACUUAAAGAUACUUUAUGCUUCGUGGGCUUUGAAUAGAUUACACUUGCAUAACACAACACCUGUUCUACAUAAACUCUCAAAAAAAAAUUAAGUUGAUGCUUCUACCAAUUACAUAAACCCUUAGACAAAUAAAGGUCAAUGUUUCUUGUUCAUCCCAGUUACAUAAGUACCACCCAGUUUCAUAAAGAACCCUCAGAUCAAUAAAGUUGUUGUUUAUCCCAAUUACACACAAACCCUUAAGAAAAUAAGGGUUCAAGUUUAUGUCAAGCAAAUUCAAAGGUUAAAGCUUCAAAUAAAGCUUUCAGUUUGUUGAAAAACCAAGGUAAGCAGUGAGUCGACUUGCUGUGUUACAGUGGUAAUUGUUAAAGGUUUUACAAGGUUUAAAAUGUAAUGCUCUGUUAUAUGCACUGUUCUCUAAUUCGUCAUAAUAAUACAAACAGGGGACAAGUAGGAGGUGUGUUUUAGGGGUGCUAGAUGAGGCACUCUGGGAGUUGUAGUCCCAAAUGUACUCCAAUGCACAUGGGCAGUAAGAUACCCCAUGGUGAUUAAUCAAGGCAGUCAGGUGUUGUUUUGAAGUGCAUAUAAAAGGCAUUGUUUGCUUCCAAUAAACAGAUUUGGUUGUUGGAACCCCAACCAGCUGGAUCAUAUGCAUUUAUUUAUUUAUUAUAUUAAUAAAGCCAUAUCACAGGAUUUGUCUCUUCUCAGCCUCUUCCCUUGUCUGGAAAUCCAGUUUGUAGCUUCAGGUACCCUCAUACUCUUCUGCACCUGGGAUAGUUGGACAACGGCAGCCACUUAUCCUUUUAAAGCCCAGGUGGGGGUAGGAUUUUCUGGAUGAGCAGCUGUUUUUUUGUAAUUUGACAAAAGUCUUAGCAAUGUUUAAGCCAUUAACCACUUCAGUCUCUGAUACUUGAAGUAUACAAUUGAUGUGCUACAGGUCACCAAUUAGAUAUUUGCUUUUCUAGAGGUAAUUUUCUGUCUGUAUCCAACUAUAUAUCCAAUAUCAGCUGUUCUGAGCAGGCUUUGUUUGGCAAUUCAGGGCUCUUUUUCACCUUGGUCAAAGGAUGUAAAAACCUACUUUGGAUACCCUGAAAAAUAAAGUAACUUGUCAUUAUUCUUCUUUGGUGUCUUUGUUCUUCACAAAUAAUAGAAUAGUCUGCUUCUAAUCUGCAUUGAAUUUUUACAAUACAGGUAAAAGACUCCUGAAAAACAACCAGUGUGCAAGAUUUUAUCCAAAGCAAGGCAGUAAUCAGGGGAGGGUGACCCACGCUGGUUGUGUCCUGGGAGAGACUGCAUGGUACUUCUGAGCCAGAGCAGAGCACACAAGUACAUCAUUGCCAAGGAUUGAUUCCCGUUGGUUUCCUUCAAUUGCUUUAUGAAAUGGACAUAAGAACUGCAUGGAUGAGAAGAGAGAUGUUCUAUGUGAAAAAAAACCAUCAAAGGCAAGAAAGAAUUUCAUAUCUCUUUGAUGUCACUCAGCUUCAGGUACAGAGCGUUACAGCUUGCAGGAGUGCUAAUUAAAACUGAUAGUUAUUUCAUUUA
Molecule: long non-coding RNA, 4934 nt
Organism: Pseudopipra pipra
Lineage: Eukaryota; Metazoa; Chordata; Aves; Passeriformes; Pipridae
Exons: 2
Source: RefSeq, a predicted model, not a curated record